UUGGAGGGCAAGUCUGGUGCCCGCAGCCGCGGUAAUUCCAGCUCCAAUAGCGUAUAUUAAAGUUGUUGCAGUUAAAAAGCCCGUAGUUGAAUUUCGGGAUCAGAUUGUCGGUCGUGCCUCGGUACGCACUGGCAUUAUUGGUUCCUACCUUCUGAAGAACCGCGAUGUCAUUAAUUUGGUGUCGUGGGGAAUCAGGACUGUUACUUUGAAAAAAUUAGAGUGUUUAAAGCAGGCGCACGCUUGAAUACAUUAGCAUGGAAUAAUGAAAUAGGACGUUUGAUUCUAUUUUGUUGGUUUCUAGGAUCGACGUAAUGAUUAAUAGGGAUAGUUGGGGGCAUUAGUAUUCAAUUGUCAGAGGUGAAAUUCUUGGAUUUAUUGAAGACUAACUACUGCGAAAGCAUUUGCCAAGGAUGUUUUCAUUAAUCAAGAACGAAAGUUAGGGGAUCGAAGACGAUCAGAUACCGUCGUAGUCUUAACCAUAAACUAUGCCGACUAGGGAUCGGAUGAUGUUAAUUUUUUAAUGACUCAUUCGGCGCCUUACGGGAAAC
Molecule: ribosomal RNA, 548 nt
Filed under: uncultured Glomeromycotina
Lineage: Eukaryota; Fungi; Glomeromycota
Description: SSU rRNA
Rfam family: Eukaryotic small subunit ribosomal RNA
Source: RNAcentral